GUUCCUGAGAAAACACAUGGCAUGAGCCAGCUCACAUUUGGGUCUUACUCCAUGCCUGCAAGGCAGUCCAUACAAGAGCUGAGAGAAGGAAGGAGAGGCAGCUUGCAGUCAUCUGCGACUGGGAGAAACCCUGGAUCUGGCACCCAUGGAGUCUGACCAAAUGCUCCUGCAGUCAGCACUGAUCUUGACAUUUCAACAUAUCUAUCUAGCCUGCACUUAUCUGCAUCAGAUAGUCUAAAUACACUGUUACGGAAAACCAGGGUAAUACAACGCCCAGGUGUGUAUUAUAUCAUCUCAGGGUGGAGCAAGAGGAAAGCCUGCAAUGCUGGAAAGUGCAGGACACUAUCGAUUUUUCCCAGAAAUGCUGCUUUAUCAUCAGUGGCAGAGAAAAGGAACGUGAGCACAACCUGUGCCAGCACUCCGCCAGUGUCGGGGCUGCAAAUCAACAAGACAGAGCCGAUGCUCCAGAGCAGGUGGAGGUGAGAAGCUGAAGUCUGGAGGGAAAUAGCCCUAUGGAGAAAAGUGGUUUUCAGUAUACCUGGGAAGAUUUGUUUUGAUGUGGUCUGGUUAUAAGGGUUUGAAAAAUCAUA
Gopherus flavomarginatus (Mexican gopher tortoise) is the source of this 590-nucleotide long non-coding RNA. RefSeq lists it as uncharacterized. The record is from RefSeq and is a predicted model, not a curated record. Lineage: Eukaryota; Metazoa; Chordata; Testudines; Testudinidae. The transcript has 3 exons.